AGCAGCCGCGGUAUUCCAGCUCCAAUAGCGUAUAUUAAAGUUGUUGCAGUUAAAAAGCUCGUAGUUGAAUUUCGGGGUCAGUAGGUUGGUCGUGCCACCGGUACGUACUGGUCUCACUGAUUCCUCCUUCCUGAUGAGCUGUAAUGCCAUUAAUUUGGUGUUGCAGGGAAUCUGGACUGUUACUUUGAAAAAAUUAGAGUGUUUAAAGCAGGCUAACGCUUGAAUACAUUAGCAUGGAAUAAUGAAAUAGGACGUUCGAUCCUAUUUUGUUGGUUUCUAGGAUUGACGUAAUGAUUAAUAGGGAUAGUUGGGGGCAUUAGUAUUCAAUUGUCAGAGGUGAAAUUCUUGGAUUUAUUGAAGACUAACUACUGCGAAAGCAUUUGCCAAGGAUGUUUUCAUUAAUCAAGAACGAAAGUUAGGGGAUCGAAGACGAUCAGAUACCGUCGUAGUCUUAACCAUAAACUAUGCCGACUAGGGAUCGGAUGAUGU
Molecule: ribosomal RNA, 489 nt
Filed under: uncultured Glomeromycotina
Lineage: Eukaryota; Fungi; Glomeromycota
Description: SSU rRNA
Rfam family: Eukaryotic small subunit ribosomal RNA
Source: RNAcentral